RNAcentral lists this ribosomal RNA (506 nucleotides) under uncultured bacterium. Its description in RNAcentral is "partial 16S ribosomal RNA". It matches the Rfam family "Bacterial small subunit ribosomal RNA", at positions 29 to 523 of the family's 1533-position model. The record is from RNAcentral.
AGUGAACGCUGGCGGUAGGCCUAACACAUGCAAGUCGAACGGCAGCACAGGAGAGCUUGCUCUCUGGGUGGCGAGUGGCGGACGGGUGAGGAAUACAUCGGAAUCUACUCUGUCGCGGGGGAUAACGUAGGGAAACUUACGCUAAUACCGCAUACGACCUACGGGUGAAAGCAGGGGAUCUUCGGACCUUGCGCGAUUGAAUGAGCCGAUGUCGGAUUAGCUAGCUGGCGGGGUAAAGGCCCACCAAGGCGACGAUCCGUAGCUGGUCUGAGAGGAUGAUCAGCCACACUGGAACUGAGACACGGUCCAGACUCCUACGGGAGGCAGCAGUGGGGAAUAUUUGACAAUGGGCGCAAGCCUGAUCCAGCCAUACCGCGUGGGUGAAGAAGGCCUUCGGGUUGUAAAGCCCUUUUGUUGGGAAAGAAAUCCAGCUGGCUAAUACCCGGUUGGGAUGACGGUACCCAAAGAAUAAGCACCGGCUAACUUCGUGCCAGCCGCCGCCGUAA